AACGUAGGAGGCGAGCGUUAUCCGGAGUUACUGGGCGUAAAGCGCGUGUAGGCGGCUGUUUAAGUGUGCUGUGAAAUGUCCCGGCUCAACCGGGAAGGUGCGGCGCAGACUGGACGGCUGGAGGGUGACAGAGGCAGGUAGAAUUCCGGGUGUAGUGGUGAAAUGCGUAGAGAUCCGGAGGAAUACCAGUGGCGUAAGCGGCCUGCUGGGUCAAUCCUGACGCUGAGGUACGAAAGCUAGGGGAGCAAACAGG
RNAcentral lists this ribosomal RNA (253 nucleotides) under uncultured bacterium. RNAcentral's name for it is "partial 16S ribosomal RNA". It matches the Rfam family "Bacterial small subunit ribosomal RNA", at positions 524 to 776 of the family's 1533-position model. The record is from RNAcentral.